UGGCGAUCAUAGUGUGGCUUUGGA
This 24-nucleotide non-coding RNA is filed under the name Rattus norvegicus (Norway rat). The record is from RNAcentral. Lineage: Eukaryota; Metazoa; Chordata; Mammalia; Rodentia; Muridae.